ACGUAGGUGGCAAGCGUUGUCCGGAAUUAUUGGGCGUAAAGCGCGCGCAGGCGGUCCUUUAAGUCUGAUGUGAAAGCCCACGGCUCAACCGUGGAGGGUCAUUGGAAACUGGGGGACUUGAGUGCAGAAGAGGAAAGUGGAAUUCCACGUGUAGCGGUGAAAUGCGUAGAGAUGUGGAGGAACACCAGUGGCGAAGGCGGCCCCCUGGGUCGAUACUGACGCUCAUGCACGAAAGCGUGGGUAGCAAACAGGA
RNAcentral lists this ribosomal RNA (253 nucleotides) under uncultured prokaryote. RNAcentral's name for it is "partial 16S ribosomal RNA". It matches the Rfam family "Bacterial small subunit ribosomal RNA", at positions 525 to 777 of the family's 1533-position model. The record is from RNAcentral.